UUGACGGUUUUUGAAGCAAGAACCGGGGUUUGAUGACAGUUCGAAAGGUUGGGAGUUCACAGCAACUGUAGUACAAAGAGCGGGCCAACGUUGCUUAAUUCACGCCGAAGCGUAUAGGCGUCCCACAGCACAUCCAAACGGCGCAGCCCAAAUACCCUCCAUUUCUCAGGCACCCCACCGUCUCUCUCUCUCUCUCUCUCUCUCUCUCUCCCUCUCUGACUUUCUCCCAUCUUCUUCUCCGACCUUCAAAUGCAUUUUUCGACUUUUACGAAGACCCUGCCCUGGCGACAUUCAUCAAUGAGACCAGAACCGGUAUUCGUGUUCAGCCCUCUUCAUGUCUAGCCCUUCAUCCAAUUCUCAUUGAUACAACAAACCUCCCGGGACUUCCAAAGAUUUCGCUGCCAACUAUAUUUGCAAAGUAAGUUCAAACUUUUCCAUCCUCUUUCCCCAAUCUUCAUCAAAUACAAUCUACAUUAGUAGAGGCUUUGGCAAGGUAUAUCUCUGCUCUUUAAUGGAUGUCAACACCUACAUCAGACUUAUCCCUUCAAAGGAUUUCAAUUGUUGAUAUUUUGCACACCAAUUGUUCGAUGAAAUUACUCAACAUUUUUGGGUGCUGAAUUUUAGGGAUUUCGUUUCCCUUGGUGCGAAGUGACCACAAAUUAGCCAGUUUUAGUUACAAGUUUUUUGAGUUUUGGCUUCAUGUGGAGCAAGCCCGACUCCAUUCCUUUAAACUCAUAACUGGUACCUGUUUGUUUAUGAUAGGUUUACCUUCUAAUUGACUGAAUCUACCAUCUUUUUCCUCUACCAAUCCUGUCUUAGGAGUGGAGUUUUAUAUUUGAAGAGUGAGUAUUCAAUGCUGGAUAAAGCAUGUUGGUAUUCAAAUCUUCUCCUCUGUUUUCUAGAAGGGUGUAUAACUUUGUUAUGUGGAGUUGCCUCGAUCCUACUUGUAACGUACAAAUCAUAACGGGUUCACCUAUGUUGGACAUUGAUAAGACAUGUUAGAGCCCUUGAAUAAAAAAGAACAAGUUUUGUCUUUAAUAUAUACUGCUUUAACCUACACCUUAUAGGCUUAAGUUAAGUGGAUACAAAUGGCAAACAUCGUAGAAUAGGCCAAGGUGCAACUAAGAAAUCAUAUUGGCACCAUCUAUCACUACAUCCAAGUGUACGUUUGCAUAACAUCUCCUAGGCUAUACGUUGUUCAUAUGCAACCUCAAUGGACUUCCAUAUAUUCUGAUUGUCAACUGCUGCAAAACUCUUGGACUCGAAGUUGGAUUUAACUAAGUAUUGUUAGGCUCAUUUUCUUGUGAUCUUACGUACAUUUUAUAUUGGAGUUCCGCAUGGAGCAGCCCCUACGUAUAGUUUGGUUCUUACGGUUUUGUCCAUUUUGGCCUUGGAACAUCGCCUGGUUAUAGAGACUAUGCUCAUUAAUUGGAACAAUCCCCGGUCGGCAGCAGGGAUUCAGUCUUCAAGAAUUUGCGGAUCAAUGGUUUGGAAACAAAAUUGAUUAUGGAAAAGGCAGGCAGAUGCAUAUCCAUUAUGGUUCCACUAAACCCAAUUAUGUCAAUGUUUCAUCAGAUUGCAUAAGGUAUAUAAUGCUAUAGAUUUGAAAAUCGGCACAAAGGACAAUAUUGAACUUUGUUUAGACGUAAGGGAGAACCCCGGUCACAAUAGCUGGUUAUUGUAUUGCAAUACACAACUUCCCCAUGCUGUUGGAACUACAUAUUCUAUGAAGAUGGAUGGAUGAGAUGCAUGCACAGUCCCCUUUUUUGGGGACGCUGGCACCAGUGAGAUAAGUAUGUAAUUAUGUAAGAUAACCCAUUUCCCGUUUUGUUUGAUUUACAAUCAUUUUAUCAUUAGAUCAAUAGGAGUCUUGGAAUUUCCAUUUAGAUAUCCCGUAUUUCUUAGAAAAAUCUUGUUUCCAUUUGUUAAGCUUAGCAUACUAGCUAGCCUUCUCUUUAUAUGACUUGGUAUAAAGAGACUUCAUUCGAUUUGCAAUUAUCUUGGUUUUGACCCUCAAGUUUAAUGGUUUUGUGUUUAUCCGUCGACAUCUAUCCUCUUUAGUCAGAAAGGUUGAGGACUCAAAGGUAAUGGCUGAUGCCACAUGUCUACCUCCAUGAGUGUAUGAUAUUGAAGAAUUCAAGAAUAGUCACGGGCGGCUUUGAAUUCCUAUUCAGGCUUUUCUAGACCACAUAAAGUUAAGAAAAUCUCGAUUUGCAAUUGUUUCAUUCAAAUGAACAGUUUUUUUUGCCAUUAGAUGAAGUGAUUUCAUGGCUGUUAUAUGUCCUAUUAAUAUCAAAAUUCAAUCUAGCUGAAUUUGUCAUAUUAUCACCUAAAUUUUAAUACAAGAUCCUGAUAGGGAGAUUUUCAAACGGCUUUUAUUUUUGUGGCGGUUAUUGAGUCCCGAGUUUUUUUUAGUAGCCGGAACAACAGUGGGCCAUCAACACCCGUCUCAGAUCAUUGUGAAAGUAUUUUACCUCUUGACUUUCCCUUUUCCAGGUUCUCAUUUUAAGGUUACAUUGUUGUUCUAGGUUUUUAUUCAUUGCUAUGGUAUUGCUAUUAGAGGACAGGCAUAUGGAGUUCGUACUUUUCGUGUAAACGGUAAUGAUGCUCUUGACAUCUUUAGUGCAGUUGAAGCAACGCAUAGGAUAGCCAUAAAUGAGCAUAGGUCUAUCUGGCUUGAGGUAACCUAAUGAAUCAGUUUUAAUCAUUACUUGUAAUGCGAAAAAGAGUUAGAGAAGAUUUCGUUUAGAGUUUUUGAAGUUAAUUGCAUUACACUUGCGAAGUUUUGAUUCGAUUUUCAAUGGAUAGACCAGGAAAUCACUCCACUUCUGGUGAUUCCACCAAAUUUUAUCCAGAUAAAGAGAUCGACUGGUGGAGAGAGCAAGACCCUGUGUCCAGAUUUUGAAAGUGAAUUGAAACUAAUUGUUUGUGGAGUGAUGAGGCCGAGUCUAAGCGUCGAACCUCUAUCAAGAACGAGGUAAUUGAGAAAUUUGCAAAGAUUGAUAUGCUUCUCAAAGUCAAGGGGUAGACGAAGAGUAGAAGUUCAAAGUCCAAGUACACAAGAACAAUGAAGGUAUCAUUGGUUGAAUCAGAUGGAGCAAUAUAAUUCUUGGACUCAUUCAAAAGUAAGAAUCAUGCAGUCGCUUGACAAACUAAUAACAUUUUGUGUUAGCUCCCCUAACUCUUUUUGGCCAUUAGAAGGGUCUUUGGAUUCUUGUUUAUGCUUUCAAGUUUUUGAGGGGUCCAACAGGAUGGCAGUGUUUAUGUGCCACUUGGAUCCUUGUGUCCGUUUGAAAAUGCUGGAACUGCUUCCCAACAGUUGUAUGCUAAUAUAGGUUUUUUGAACUAAGGAAAUAAGCUUCUAAAUUGUAACUACUGCUGAAUUUGGCAUUUGAAAUGCAGAAACUACUAUUCUAAUUGCUGA
This is a long non-coding RNA of Rhododendron vialii, 3424 nucleotides long. RefSeq lists it as uncharacterized. NCBI's taxonomy places the organism in Eukaryota, Viridiplantae, Streptophyta, Magnoliopsida, Ericales, Ericaceae. The record is from RefSeq and is a predicted model, not a curated record. The transcript is spliced from 2 exons.